UACGUAGGGUGCGAGCGUUAAUCGGAAUUACUGGGCGUAAAGCGAGCGCAGACGGUUAUUUAAGCAAGAUGUGAAAGCCCCGGGCUCAACCUGGGAACUGCGUUUUGAACUGGGUAACUAGAGUGUGUCAGAGGGGGGUAGAAUUCCACGUGUAGCAGUGAAAUGCGUAGAGAUGUGGAGGAAUACCGAUGGCGAAGGCAGCCCCCUGGGAUAACACUGACGUUCAUGCUCGAAAGCGUGGGUAGCAAACAGGAUUAGAUACCCUGGUAGUCCACGCCCUAAACGAUGUCAAUUAGCUGUUGGGGUACAUGAUGCCUUAGUAGCGUAGCUAACGCGUGAAAUUGACCGCCUGGGGAGUACGGUCGCAAGAUUAAA
This 375-nucleotide ribosomal RNA is filed under the name uncultured bacterium. RNAcentral describes it as "bacterial SSU rRNA". It matches the Rfam family "Bacterial small subunit ribosomal RNA", at positions 524 to 898 of the family's 1533-position model. The record is from RNAcentral.